This 75-nucleotide transfer RNA is filed under the name Sorangium sp. RNAcentral's name for it is "tRNA-Val". It matches the Rfam family "tRNA". Rfam says of the family: Transfer RNA (tRNA) molecules are approximately 80 nucleotides in length. Their secondary structure includes four short double-helical elements and three loops (D, anti-codon, and T loops). Further hydrogen bonds mediate the characteristic L-shaped molecular structure. tRNAs have two regions of fundamental functional importance: the anti-codon, which is responsible for specific mRNA codon recognition, and the 3' end, to which the tRNAs corresponding amino acid is attached (by aminoacyl-tRNA synthetases). tRNAs cope with the degeneracy of the genetic code in two manners: having more than one tRNA (with a specific anti-codon) for a particular amino acid; and 'wobble' base-pairing, i.e. permitting non-standard base-pairing at the 3rd anti-codon position. Lineage: Bacteria; Pseudomonadati; Myxococcota; Polyangiales; Polyangiaceae. The record is from RNAcentral.
AGGCGCGUAGCUCAGUGGGAGAGCAUUACCUUGACACGGUAGGGGUCGGCAGUUCGAUCCUGCCCGCGCCUACUA